CACCCCGGCUAAAGCCCCGACGGGAGGGGAUGGCUCCGCGGCCCAUCAGGUAGACGGCGGGGUGACGGCCCACCGUGCCGACAACGGGUAGCCGGGUUGAGAGACCGACCGGCCAGAUUGGGACUGAGACACGGCCCAGACUCCUACGGGAGGCAGCAGUGGGGAAUCUUGCGCAAUGGGGGGAACCCUGACGCAGCGACGCCGCGUGCGGGACGGAGGCCUUCGGGUCGUAAACCGCUUUCAGCAGGGAAGAGUCAAGACUGUACCUGCAGAAGAAGCCCCGGCUAACUACGUGCCAGCAGCCGCGGCAAUACGUAGGGGGCGAGCGUUAUCCGGAUUCAUUGGGCGUAAAGCGCGCGUAGGCGGCCCGGCAGGCCGGGGGUCGAAGCGGGGGGCUCAACCCCCCGAAGCCCCCGGAACCUCCGCGGCUUGGGUCCGGUAGGGGAGGGUGGAACACCCGGUGUAGCGGUGGAAUGCGCAGAUAUCGGGUGGAACACCGGUGGCGAAGGCGGCCCUCUGGGCCGAGACCGACGCUGAGGCGCGAAAGCUGGGGGAGCGAACAGGAUUAGAUACCCUGGUAGUCCCAGCCGUAAACGAUGGACGCUAGGUGUGGGGGGACGAUCCCCCCGUGCCGCAG
RNAcentral lists this ribosomal RNA (637 nucleotides) under uncultured bacterium. RNAcentral's name for it is "partial 16S ribosomal RNA". It matches the Rfam family "Bacterial small subunit ribosomal RNA", at positions 193 to 851 of the family's 1533-position model. The record is from RNAcentral.